RNAcentral lists this ribosomal RNA (397 nucleotides) under uncultured bacterium. RNAcentral describes it as "bacterial SSU rRNA". It matches the Rfam family "Bacterial small subunit ribosomal RNA", at positions 28 to 429 of the family's 1533-position model. The record is from RNAcentral.
AUUGAACGCUGGCGGCAUGCUUUACACAUGCAAGUCGAACGGCAGCGGGGGCUUCGGCCUGCCGGCGAGUGGCGAACGGGUGAGUAAUGUAUCGGAACGUGCCCAUGUCGUGGGGGAUAACGUAGCGAAAGCUACGCUAAUACCGCAUACGUCCUGAGGGAGAAAGCGGGGGGAUCUUUGGACCUCGCGCGAUUGGAGCGGCCGAUGUCGGAUUAGCUAGUAGGUGAGGUAAAGGCUCACCUAGGCGACGAUCCGUAGCGGGUCUGAGAGGAUGAUCCGCCACACUGGGACUGAGACACGGCCCAGACUCCUACGGAGGCAGCAGUGGGGAAUUUUGGACAAUGGGGGCAACCCUGAUCCAGCCAUGCCGCGUGAGUGAAAGAAGGCUCGGUGUAAG